Non-coding RNA from Ictidomys tridecemlineatus (thirteen-lined ground squirrel), 1085 nucleotides. The record is from RefSeq and is a predicted model, not a curated record. Lineage: Eukaryota; Metazoa; Chordata; Mammalia; Rodentia; Sciuridae.
CACUUCCAGUGGUUUGCUCAUUUUGGCUUUGAUGGAGGGCGGAGUUGUAGUGGAGUGAGUUAUCUUCAUUAGUGCUUUUGACAAAAUACAUCUUAAAGCCCAGGAAAGAAAAAAACAAAAACAGAGAGCUUGAAAUCCGACCUGCACAUCUUCAGAGUGCAAGAUUACAUGGUCAAAUUCUACUGCCUCUGACAGUGGAGGUGGCAAGAGGUGAAACUUUUAACUCAACUGUGCAACUCAGACUUAUGUGAGCAAACCCUUUUCUACAAAGAUCAGAAACACUUUCCUGGCACCAACAGAGCAAAUCUCAAGGUAGAAGUGGAGGAAACCAACGAGAGGGGAAGUGAGUGAUUCUGCAUUCACAGACGAUGACUUCUCCUAGAACCAUGUAACCUGAUACUUUCAAAUCCCAGGUGCCUGAUGGAUUUGUCUUUUUCUUGUCUUCAAGAAUGGACGUAUAAAUGUUUUGGAGGAGUGCUAAUGUCAGGCCGAUGAGUCUCUUCAAGUGCUCUUCUUUUUAAGAACAAAGAGCUAGAGUUUCCUCUUGCCUUGCCAAGGCUCAUCUUUCCUGUUGGCAUCGUGUGGAACAAAUGGACAGCAUUUCUCUUCAACUCUCCUUAUGCAGGUGCAAACCACACACACACACAAACACACACACACACACACACACACACACACACACACGCAUGCACAUGUACAUUCUGUUUUAGAACUUUUUGCCCUUUAGACUACUUUUUAAAAAACCCGUCACCCAAGGAUGGACUUGUGAUUUUUUUAAAACCUUACCUGUCUCUUCAGUCUCUCCAUUACACUCUUUUUAGUGAAGCAGGUUCUUCAACUGUCGGCUAAUUGAGGCACCCUCUCUGGGGAAACCUAAGCCACGUGGAGUAGAAUGUCUUAUUCCUAAAGGAGAAGAGGCACCACAGCAAUUUGGAGAAGACUGUUAAUGAUGAGAGAGAGAUCAGUUAACCAACAGAAAGAAGCCAAUUGGGCCCAGGUGUGGUGGCGCACACCUGUAAUCCCAGGGGCUCUGGAGGCUGAAUGGGAGGAUCACAAGCUCAAAGCCAGCCUCAGCAACUUAGUGA